RNAcentral lists this ribosomal RNA (694 nucleotides) under uncultured bacterium. RNAcentral's name for it is "bacterial SSU rRNA". It matches the Rfam family "Bacterial small subunit ribosomal RNA", at positions 64 to 753 of the family's 1533-position model. The record is from RNAcentral.
CGACGGCAGCACGGGAGCAAUCCUGGUGGCGAGUGGCGAACGGGUGAGUAAUGUAUCGGAACGUACCUUUCAGUGGGGGAUAACGUAGCGAAAGUUACGCUAAUACCGCAUAUUCUGUGAGCAGGAAAGCAGGGGAUCACAAGACCUUGCGCUGAUUGAGCGGCCGAUAUCAGAUUAGCUAGUUGGUGAGGUAAAGGCUCACCAAGGCGACGAUCUGUAGCGGGUCUGAGAGGAUGAUCCGCCACACUGGAACUGAGACACGGUCCAGACUCCUACGGGAGGCAGCAGUGGGGAAUUUUGGACAAUGGGGGCAACCCUGAUCCAGCCAUGCCGCGUGAGUGAAGAAGGCCUUCGGGUUGUAAAGCUCUUUCAGCCGGGAAGAAAUCACAUGGGUUAAUACCCUGUGUGGAUGACGGUACCGGAAUAAGAAGCACCGGCUAACUACGUGCCAGCAGCCGCGGUAAUACGUAGGGUGCGAGCGUUAAUCGGAAUUACUGGGCGUAAAGCGUGCGCAGGCGGUUUGUUAAGAUAGGCGUGAAAUCCCCGGGCUCAACCUGGGAACUGCGUUUAUGACUGGCAGGCUAGAGUAUGGCAGAGGGGGGUGGAAUUCCACGUGUAGCAGUGAAAUGCGUAGAGAUGUGGAGGAACACCGAUGGCGAAGGCAGCCCCCUGGGCCAAUACUGACGCUCAUGCA